UAUAGUAUGUAUACAAAUUGUAGGCUACAAAAUCUGAAUAUAUCCUAUCUCCAAAGUGUUUGAAUUUGAGAUGGAAAAGGUGGAGAAUGCUGCUGAAACUGCACAAGAAUGCAGCUUGGAGAACAACCUUUGUGGCCAAUUCUACAAACUCUCCACUCCCUAAGAUGCUACCCUCUUGGAGGAAGCUUGCUGGAACCUGGAUCACCUCAAAAAGAAGUCACACACCACUGCCAAAUACACCAAACUGUGAGCUAAUGGUCAGCUGCUACACCAGAAUUUUAAUUAGCCAAAAACCAAUUUGCUAGCAUAAUAUGGAAGCCAAAAAUGAUGAAUUCAAGUGAGAUACAGCUGGAAUAAAAG
RNAcentral lists this long non-coding RNA (360 nucleotides) under Vigna radiata. Its description in RNAcentral is "long non-coding RNA (VRAD_LNC002624)". The record is from RNAcentral. Lineage: Eukaryota; Viridiplantae; Streptophyta; Magnoliopsida; Fabales; Fabaceae.